Molecule: long non-coding RNA, 578 nt
Filed under: Amborella trichopoda
Lineage: Eukaryota; Viridiplantae; Streptophyta; Magnoliopsida; Amborellales; Amborellaceae
Description: long non-coding RNA (ATRI_LNC004063)
Source: RNAcentral
UCAACCUUAAACUGUUCCGAAAGUCCAACACUGCUAUUCUCUCCAAGAAAUUUCUACUGGUUGCAUCUUCCUGGUGGCAAUUACAAGCAACUGGAAUCCUACAAAUCCAAACAAAUCCCACUCGAAAUAACCUCUCAAGUCUUUGUCAUGGGCUCAACUUACAAAAUGCAGAUGCACGUACACAACAAGUCUGAAAAAAUAAACACGAAAUCCCUGAUAAAUUUUAUUGAUUUCAGAGCUCAGGAUAGAAUGAAGCAGGAUGAUAAUGACUUUGAUGUAAAUUCCAUAAAUUUAGAAGAGGAAGGUAGAGUAAAGAAAAGAGAUGGAAUUUUGAGGAGAAUUCGGAGUUCUUUUUCAAGGGAGGACAACAGUAUUCAUGUAACGGAAAGAAACGGGGGGGAUUCAGGGGUUGCUUUCUUUCUACAUUUUUCAGUUAAUGCAGCCAAGAAGGAAGUGAGGGAUGGAGAAGACACCCGAAUUUUACCUGUUCACUAUUCGGAUAAUUACUUCUCCCUGGCACCCGGAGAGACCAUGCCUGUGGAGAUUAGAUUCGAGGCCCCACCUGGGGUCUCUCCUCG